This 734-nucleotide ribosomal RNA is filed under the name uncultured Actinomycetes bacterium. Its description in RNAcentral is "bacterial SSU rRNA". It matches the Rfam family "Bacterial small subunit ribosomal RNA", at positions 129 to 873 of the family's 1533-position model. Lineage: Bacteria; Bacillati; Actinomycetota; Actinomycetes. The record is from RNAcentral.
CCCUUGACUUUGGGAUAACUUCAGGAAACUGGGGGCUAAUACCGGAUAGGAGCUCCUGCUGCAUGGUGGGGGGUUGGAAAGUUUCGGCGGUUGGGGAUGGACUCGCGGCUUAUCAGCUUGUUGGUGGGGUAGUGGCUUACCAAGGCUUUGACGGGUAGCCGGCCUGAGAGGGUGACCGGCCACAUUGGGACUGAGAUACGGCCCAGACUCCUACGGGAGGCAGCAGUGGGGAAUAUUGCACAAUGGGCGGAAGCCUGAUGCAGCAACGCCGCGUGCGGGAUGACGGCCUUCGGGUUGUAAACCGCUUUCGCCUGUGACGAAGCGUGAGUGACGGUAAUGGGUAAAGAAGCACCGGCUAACUACGUGCCAGCAGCCGCGGUGAUACGUAGGGUGCGAGCGUUGUCCGGAUUUAUUGGGCGUAAAGGGCUCGUAGGUGGUUGAUCGCGUCGGAAGUGUAAUCUUGGGGCUUAACCCUGAGCGUGCUUUCGAUACGGGUUGACUUGAGGAAGGUAGGGGAGAAUGGAAUUCCUGGUGGAGCGGUGGAAUGCGCAGAUAUCAGGAGGAACACCAGUGGCGAAGGCGGUUCUCUGGGCCUUUCCUGACGCUGAGGAGCGAAAGCGUGGGGAGCGAACAGGCUUAGAUACCCUGGUAGUCCACGCUGUAAACGGUGGGUACUAGGUGUGGGGUCCAUUCCACGGGUUCCGUGCCGUAGCUAACGCUUUAAGUACCCCGCC